RNAcentral lists this ribosomal RNA (1050 nucleotides) under Enterobacter roggenkampii. Its description in RNAcentral is "partial 23S ribosomal RNA". It matches the Rfam family "Bacterial large subunit ribosomal RNA", at positions 1776 to 2823 of the family's 2925-position model. The record is from RNAcentral. Lineage: Bacteria; Pseudomonadati; Pseudomonadota; Gammaproteobacteria; Enterobacterales; Enterobacteriaceae.
GUCGAAGAUACCAGCUGGCUGCAACUGUUUAUUAAAAACACAGCACUGUGCAAACACGAAAGUGGACGUAUACGGUGUGACGCCUGCCCGGUGCCGGAAGGUUAAUUGAUGGGGUUAGCGGCAACGCGAAGCUCUUGAUCGAAGCCCCGGUAAACGGCGGCCGUAACUAUAACGGUCCUAAGGUAGCGAAAUUCCUUGUCGGGUAAGUUCCGACCUGCACGAAUGGCGUAAUGAUGGCCAGGCUGUCUCCACCCGAGACUCAGUGAAAUUGAACUCGCUGUGAAGAUGCAGUGUACCCGCGGCAAGACGGAAAGACCCCGUGAACCUUUACUAUAGCUUGACACUGAACACUGGUCCUUGAUGUGUAGGAUAGGUGGGAGGCUUUGAAGCGUGGACGCCAGUCUGCGUGGAGCCGUCCUUGAAAUACCACCCUUUAAUGGCUGGUGUUCUAACGUAGACCCGUAAUCCGGGUUGCGGACAGUGUCUGGUGGGUAGUUUGACUGGGGCGGUCUCCUCCCAAAGAGUAACGGAGGAGCACGAAGGUUAGCUAAUCCUGGUCGGACAUCAGGAGGUUAGUGCAAUGGCAUAAGCUAGCUUGACUGCGAGAGUGACGGCUCGAGCAGGUGCGAAAGCAGGUCAUAGUGAUCCGGUGGUUCUGAAUGGAAGGGCCAUCGCUCAACGGAUAAAAGGUACUCCGGGGAUAACAGGCUGAUACCGCCCAAGAGUUCAUAUCGACGGCGGUGUUUGGCACCUCGAUGUCGGCUCAUCACAUCCUGGGGCUGAAGUAGGUCCCAAGGGUAUGGCUGUUCGCCAUUUAAAGUGGUACGCGAGCUGGGUUUAGAACGUCGUGAGACAGUUCGGUCCCUAUCUGCCGUGGGCGCUGGAGAAUUGAGGGGGGCUGCUCCUAGUACGAGAGGACCGGAGUGGACGCAUCACUGGUGUUCGGGUUGUCAUGCCAAUGGCACUGCCCGGUAGCUAAAUGCGGAAAAGAUAAGUGCUGAAAGCAUCUAAGCACGAAACUUGCCCCGAGAUGAGUUCUCCCUGAGACUU